UCGCCGCGGUAAUACCAGCUCCCCGAGUGGUCGGGACGUUUAUUGGGCCUAAAGCAUCCGUAGCCGGUCCUGUAGGUCUUCUGUUAAACCCCAACAGCUCAACUGUUGGACUGCAGAAGAUACCGCAGGACUAGGAGGCGGGGAGAGGCGGACGGUACUCCAUGGGUAGGGGUAAAAUCCUUUGAUCCAUGGAAGACCACCAGUGGCGAAGGC
This 213-nucleotide ribosomal RNA is filed under the name uncultured archaeon. RNAcentral describes it as "partial 16S ribosomal RNA". It matches the Rfam family "Archaeal small subunit ribosomal RNA", at positions 462 to 673 of the family's 1478-position model. The record is from RNAcentral.